Molecule: signal recognition particle RNA, 292 nt
Filed under: Carlito syrichta (Philippine tarsier)
Lineage: Eukaryota; Metazoa; Chordata; Mammalia; Primates; Tarsiidae
Description: Metazoan signal recognition particle RNA (ENSTSYG00000035372.1)
Rfam family: Metazoan signal recognition particle RNA
About the family: The signal recognition particle (SRP) is a universally conserved ribonucleoprotein. It is involved in the co-translational targeting of proteins to membranes. The eukaryotic SRP consists of a 300-nucleotide 7S RNA and six proteins: SRPs 72, 68, 54, 19, 14, and 9.
Source: Rfam by way of RNAcentral
GCCUGGUGGGAUGACACGUGCCUAUAGUCCCAGCUACCAGGGAGGCUGAGGCUGGAGGAUCGCUUAAGUCCAGGAGUUCUGGACUGCAGUGCACUAUGCUGAUCGGGAGUCUGCAAUAAGGUCGGCAUCAAUAUGGUGGCCUCCUGGGAGUGAGGGACCACCAUGUUGCCUAAGGAGGGGUGAACCGGCCCAGGUCAGAAGCGGAGCAGGUCAAAACUCCUGUGCUGAUCAGAAUAAAUUUUACUUACAGAGAUGAAAUUUGGGACUAGAUUGCUCCAUGAUUUAUCAACAU